This 420-nucleotide ribosomal RNA is filed under the name uncultured bacterium. Its description in RNAcentral is "bacterial SSU rRNA". It matches the Rfam family "Bacterial small subunit ribosomal RNA", at positions 356 to 773 of the family's 1533-position model. The record is from RNAcentral.
CGGGAAUAUUGGGCAAUGGAUGCAAGUCUGACCCAGCCAUGCCGCGUGCCGGAUGAAGGCCCUCAGGGUUGUAAACGGCUUUUAUUCGGGAAGAAGAGCGGGGAUGCGUCCCUGUGUGACGGUACCGAAUGAAUAAGCACCGGCUAACUCCGUGCCAGCAGCCGCGGUAAUACGGAGGGUGCGAGCGUUGUCCGGAUUUAUUGGGUUUAAAGGGUGCGUAGGUGGCUAUUUAAGUCAGUGGUGAAAUACAGCCGCUCAACGGUUGAGGUGCCAUUGAUACUGAAUAGCUUGAAAGAAUUGGAGGCUGCCGGAAUGGAUGGUGUAGCGGUGAAAUGCAUAGAUAUCAUCCAGAACACCGAUUGCGAAGGCAGGUGGCUACGAUUUAUUUGACACUGAGGCACGAAAGCAUGGGGAGCAAAC